Molecule: ribosomal RNA, 253 nt
Filed under: uncultured bacterium
Lineage: Bacteria
Description: partial 16S ribosomal RNA
Rfam family: Bacterial small subunit ribosomal RNA
Source: RNAcentral
UACAGAGGGUGCGAGCGUUGUUCGGAAUUAUUGGGCGUAAAGGGCGCGUAGGCGGUGCGGUAAGUCACCUGUGAAAUCUCCCGGCUCAACUGGGAGCUUGCAGGCGAAACUGCCGUGCUGGAGUGUGGGAGAGGUGCGUGGAAUUCCUGGUGUAGCGGUGAAAUGCGUAGAUAUCAGGAGGAACACCUGUGGCGAAAGCGGCGCACUGGACCACAACUGACGCUGAGGCGCGAAAGCUAGGGGAGCAAACAGG